This 94-nucleotide transfer RNA is filed under the name Deltaproteobacteria bacterium. Its description in RNAcentral is "tRNA-Ser". It matches the Rfam family "tRNA". From Rfam's summary of the family: Transfer RNA (tRNA) molecules are approximately 80 nucleotides in length. The record is from RNAcentral. Lineage: Bacteria; Pseudomonadati; Myxococcota; Myxococcia. RNAcentral also lists the same sequence under 1 other name.
GGAGAGAUGGCCGAGUCGGCUGAAGGCGCUCGCCUGCUAAGCGAGUGUACAGUUGAAAGCUGUACCGUGGGUUCGAAUCCCACUCUCUCCGCCA